GACGGACGCUGGCGGCGUGCUUAACACAUGCAAGUCGAACGGUGAAGCGCCUUCCUUUUUGGUGGGUGUGGAUGAGUGGCGAACGGGUGAGUAACACGUGAGUAACCUGCCCCCUUCUUCUGGAUAACCGCAUGAAAGUGUGGCUAAUACGGGAUAUUCUGGGUCUGUCGCAUGAUGGGUCUGGGAAAGAUAUUGUUUCGGUGGGGGAUGGGCUCGCGGCCUAUCAGCUUGUUGGUGGGGUGAUGGCCUACCAAGGCGGUGACGGGUAGCCGGCCUGAGAGGGUGGACGGUCACACUGGGACUGAGACACGGCCCAGACUCCUACGGGAGGCAGCAGUGGGGAAUAUGGCACAAUGGGCGCAAGCCUGAUGCAGCGACGCCGCGUGAGGGAUGGAGGCCUUCGGGUUGUGAACCUCUUUCGCCAGUGAAGCAGGCCUGCCUCGUUUGUGGGUGGGUUGACGGUAGCUGGAUAAGAAGCGCCGGCUAACUACGUG
RNAcentral lists this ribosomal RNA (494 nucleotides) under uncultured bacterium. Its description in RNAcentral is "partial 16S ribosomal RNA". It matches the Rfam family "Bacterial small subunit ribosomal RNA", at positions 28 to 507 of the family's 1533-position model. The record is from RNAcentral.